This 69-nucleotide transfer RNA is filed under the name Chaceon granulatus. RNAcentral's name for it is "tRNA-Ala". Lineage: Eukaryota; Metazoa; Arthropoda; Malacostraca; Decapoda; Geryonidae. RNAcentral also lists the same sequence under 1 other name. The record is from RNAcentral.
AAGGCCAUAGUCAAUAUACAUAAAUGACAUGUGAGUUGCAUUCAUAAGGAGUUCUAAGAACUGGUUUUA